Molecule: ribosomal RNA, 497 nt
Filed under: uncultured bacterium
Lineage: Bacteria
Description: partial 16S ribosomal RNA
Rfam family: Bacterial small subunit ribosomal RNA
Source: RNAcentral
GAUGAACGCUGGCGGCGUGCCUAAUACAUGCAAGUCGAGCGAACGGACGAGAAGCUUGCUUCUCUGAUGUUAGCGGCGGACGGGUGAGUAACACGUGGAUAACCUACCUAUAAGACUGGGAUAACUUCGGGAAACCGGAGCUAAUACCGGAUGAUAUUUUGAACCGCAUGGUUCAAAAGUGAAAGACGGUCUUGCUGUCACUUAUAGAUGGAUCCGCGCUGCAUUAGCUAGUUGGUAAGGUAACGGCUUACCAAGGCAACGAUGCAUAGCCGACCUGAGAGGGUGAUCGGCCACACUGGAACUGAGACACGGUCCAGACUCCUACGGGAGGCAGCAGUAGGGAAUCUUCCGCAAUGGGCGAAAGCCUGACGGAGCAACGCCGCGUGAGUGAUGAAGGUCUUCGGAUCGUAAAACUCUGUUAUUAGGGAAGAACAUAUGUGUAAGUAACUGUGCACAUCUUGACGGUACCUAAUCAGAAAGCCACGGCUAACUUCGUG